This 27-nucleotide non-coding RNA is filed under the name Mus musculus (house mouse). The record is from RNAcentral. Lineage: Eukaryota; Metazoa; Chordata; Mammalia; Rodentia; Muridae.
UAUUAAUCUAGCCCAAUCCAUGAGUGU